Molecule: long non-coding RNA, 431 nt
Filed under: Chinchilla lanigera (long-tailed chinchilla)
Lineage: Eukaryota; Metazoa; Chordata; Mammalia; Rodentia; Chinchillidae
Description: lncRNA (ENSCLAG00000025582.1)
Source: RNAcentral
CAGUCCGCGGCACCAGUCGUGGACAUAGAGAAGACAGCUCAGGCUGGGGCAGCACCUUUGAGGCAGGCGGCCUCCCCACAGAGUGUGACAAGCCCAGCAGGGAUGAUCUAGUCCAACAUUUGCCAUGGGAAACCCGGCAAAGGCUGACUGAUAGCUGCAGCAGACAGAGUUUUCAGAUUGCAAGCAGCAGAAACCAACCUGGUUAACAAGCGGGAAUGCUGAAGAUCAGGGUCAGCUGUCUAAUUAGGAGGAACUGAGAGAAUCUCUUCAGGAUACCAUAAGUCUACUGAUUGUCAGGUUUUUGUCUCUCUGCUCAAGAUUCCUAUUUUAGUGAGUGAACCUUUGUUUGGUCUGUUUCGGGCAGUAGCCACACUUUUGCUGAAGAAGCACAGGUAAAGAAAACAUAAAAUGCACUUCCUUUCUUUUCCCAG